GCGGAGUCUCGAGGAGCAGCUCUCCUACUGUCACACUGGCUACUAGUACUACUCAGAACUGUACGCUAUUACCGGUGUAGUUCAGUGCUCUCUGCUCAGCCUACGUACACAGCUCGAUCGAUGAUGUACCGGAGGAUAACCGCCCGGCUGCUCGUCGUCGCCGCCGUCGUCCUCCUGUCCCUGCUGCUGGCCUCCUGCGCGGCCGUCCCGCGUGGCCUUGGCCUGCCGCCGCCGCGUCCUCCUCCGGGUACGUACGUGUAUACCCACCGAAGUUUCCUUUGGACGUUCCAAAUGCUAGCUCUUGUUCUUGUUGUGUGCAUGAAUGGGUGCGUCCAUGUGAUGGCAGUGCUGCUCCUAGGCGGCGGCCGGAGCCCGGCGCGCGAGGGGAUGGAGCUGGAUCUGGGAACGCCCGCGAGGCGGCUGGGGCAGCAAACGUCGACGAAUGUGCCUCCCUCGCCGAAGCCCCACGGCAACUCGGGGUCGGCGGGGCCCGACACGCCGCCGUCGAGCAACGAGUAGGGCGACGAGGCUCCGUGGCGCGAGCACGCGACGGUGGCCGUGGGGUAGGUACGAUGUAUGGUAGUGCUCCAUGUACAACGGACAGCUAGCUGCAUGCCAUGUUCGAGAACACUUUCGCCGGUGUACAAGUCAAUAAGCUCGUUUCGAAAAGAAAAAAAAUGUCAAUAAGUUGCGUGCUCCGCACCUCAUUGGUCUUUCCGUGUGUACAACGACACUUUCACUAGUGCAUAAUAAUUCAGUGACCCGCAAAAGAUAUAUCCGGUGAGCACGUUUCGCACAAAGUCAAUAUAUGUUGCUUCUUUC
RNAcentral lists this long non-coding RNA (822 nucleotides) under Triticum aestivum (bread wheat). Its description in RNAcentral is "long non-coding RNA (TAES_LNC012573)". Lineage: Eukaryota; Viridiplantae; Streptophyta; Magnoliopsida; Poales; Poaceae. The record is from RNAcentral.